This 276-nucleotide long non-coding RNA is filed under the name Elaeis guineensis (African oil palm). Its description in RNAcentral is "long non-coding RNA (EGUI_LNC078206)". Lineage: Eukaryota; Viridiplantae; Streptophyta; Magnoliopsida; Arecales; Arecaceae. The record is from RNAcentral.
GGACAAGUGAGACUUGUAAGCAGUUUAGAAGACCUAAUGAGAGGUAGAGUGGAAAGGGUUUUAGAGGAAAAAUAAAGAUUUUGGAGAGAUAGACCGUUGAUUCGGAGAAGAGGGUUUGAAGCUAGGGUAAGUUUGAUCUACUCAAAUGAAGAAGAAAAGGAAGAGGGAUUAAGUUUCAAAAAGGGUGAUUUGAAGGGAGAAACAUGGUGGGAAGAGAGAUUUUAAGAGAUUUUUGCAGUUGAGAGAGUGGAGAAGGAGGAGGUUUUUGUUCGGUGG